CAAUAGCGUAUAUUUAAGUUGCUGCAGUUAAAAAGCUCGUAGUUGGAUUUCGGGUGGGAAUGGCCGGUCCGCCGUUUCGGUGUGCACUUGCUACGCCCACCUUGCUGCCGGGGACGUGCUCUUGAGUUCACGCUCGGCACACGGAGUCGGCGAGGUUACUUUGAGUAAAUUAGAGUGUUCAAAGCAGGCCUACGCUCUGAAUACAUUAGCAUGGAAUAACACGAUAGGACUCUGGCCUAUCUUGUUGGUCUGUAGGACCGGAGUAAUGAUUAAGAGGGACAGUCGGGGGCAUUCGUAUUUCAUUGUCAGAGGUGAAAUUCUUGGAUUUAUGAAAGACGAACUACUGCGAAAGCAUUUGCCAAGGAUGUUUUCAUUAA
This 377-nucleotide ribosomal RNA is filed under the name uncultured eukaryote. RNAcentral describes it as "partial 18S ribosomal RNA". It matches the Rfam family "Eukaryotic small subunit ribosomal RNA", at positions 592 to 976 of the family's 1831-position model. The record is from RNAcentral.